UCCGGGGUCGUCUAUGUGGCGAAGACGGCGGUCUCUGAAGCCGCAGAGGCAGGUUCGACUCCUGCCCCCGGAGCCG
RNAcentral lists this transfer RNA (76 nucleotides) under Sorangium cellulosum. RNAcentral's name for it is "tRNA-Gln". It matches the Rfam family "tRNA". Rfam says of the family: Transfer RNA (tRNA) molecules are approximately 80 nucleotides in length. Their secondary structure includes four short double-helical elements and three loops (D, anti-codon, and T loops). Lineage: Bacteria; Pseudomonadati; Myxococcota; Polyangiales; Polyangiaceae. The record is from RNAcentral.